RNAcentral lists this long non-coding RNA (959 nucleotides) under Agrilus planipennis (emerald ash borer). RNAcentral describes it as "uncharacterized LOC108732866, transcript variant X1". Lineage: Eukaryota; Metazoa; Arthropoda; Insecta; Coleoptera; Buprestidae. The record is from RNAcentral.
AACCUUAAUCGCCCUAAUCUUUAUUCGCUUUUCAUUUGAUUGUGUGAAAUAUGCUUCUAUCAAUAAUGUAUUAAGCGGUAUCGAUUACAGUUGCUUAGUUUAUUUUGGUGUAAAUGAUUUUUUCGUUGACAUGGAUUUCGUGCUCCAACAGGAGGGUUCAUCUUGGCAACUUGACUAUCUACUAUGAAUUUUAUAGAUUCUUAGUUUAUUUGAGGCCGAAUAAUUAAGACAGGACUUGGAGAUAACAUUGCUGGAUUGGAUGACCAUAUUAUUGACGGAUCUAGUUUUUGUGGCAUUUUUUCAUGCAUUUUCUACUUAACCUUAGAGAGGUGGCAUUUGUAUGAAGGGUCGUCAUUUAAGCAUGUAAAGUGAACGUCGAUAUGACAAAUAACGACUCGACAACUGGAGAAGUGCGGUGCCGUUAACGUCGUCUCUUCUAGGCUUCGUAUUUUCUGUAGAAAAGGUUAUCAUUUAAACUUAUUAAAUGAACAAGGAGACAAAGAAUAAGGACUCAAAAUGUGGAGAAGGGGAGCUCUGUUAAUGUUGCGUCUUCUUAGACUUGAAAAGUGCAAUUUUUAGAGAACAAAUGAAGUCCAAUUCACAUUGAUGUAUUUAGGAAUAAAACUUGAGCACCGUACAAUUAACCUCGACAUCGUCCAAAUGGUGAGAAAGGAAGAAUUAAAGUUCAGAUUGAUGGCAUUGAAACAGCCAAUGUCUUGUCUUGAUUUGCUGUUUUCGUCUUCAACUUGCAACAUUAUGCAGUUAAUUUUCAACAGAUGAGUGAGAGCCAGAGGAGAUUUAUAUGAAUUUCACUGAAACAAGUUUCUGCUAUGAUAUUCCUUCUGGAUUUAGUUUGCUUUUCACACAUGCAAACUUGGGAAGUUUACAGUAGUCUACUGUUUGCUAAGGUGAGAGUAUUUAAUAUAAUUACUAUUAAUUGCUCUUUAUUAAUCUGUUAC